AAAGAAUGCUGUGGCUGGGAGAUCUUAUCAAGCCUUCCUGUGACACAGUAACAGAGCUCCAGUGUGUCUUAUAAGAAUUGCUCAUUGUUUCACAGGACGACUGGCUCCUUGGGGUGGGAUCUGAUGGCAUGUCAGGGAGUGGAGGCCGUGUCUGCUCUACAGCGAUGCGCUUCGAAGAACCACAUGGAGCUGAAAAGAACACAGAGACCAUCCACCUUGAAAGCUGGCUGCUGUUCUCAUGCUGAGUUCUGAAAACCUUCUGACACUUUCCCAGCAAUUCUGCCAAUCUGCGAAGCUCUGAAACUGGGUGUUGCCUAUUGGCAGAAGCCAAUGAGAAUAUUGAGGUGAUCGUGCAAAUAUCACUCAGCAUUGAGUCUGGAAGAAAGCAGCAGUUCUCCAAGGAUGGUCUACAGACGCCUAGAAGUGGCCAAGCUCCUACUAGAAGGUCUAUGACAUCAAAAGUAUUUUCAUUCACUAGGAUCUGCUUUUCUCACUGUUGGACAUUUGCACUGAUGCUGGUACAAGGGCAGUGGUGGGUACCUUUGCCCCAUGCAGAAUGGCGGCAACAAACUAUACAAGCAGUCAUUGCUGCAUCCAUACACUGAACUCCUCUCAUAAUUAAAACAGAAAAAAAAGAAAAGUCUUACUUAAGGAAGUCCUGGGUGAUGCAAUAAACAUUAUUCAUUUUAUUUAAUCUCAACCUUUGAGACCAUGUUCUGUCUGAUACCAUAGGAGUAUGGGAAUGCACUAAUGCUGCCCACCUCAGUGCGAGUUGUCUCAAGGAAAGGCACCUGGAAGAUGUCUUGCAGGCUGAACUAGCCAGUUUUUAAAUGGAACACUAUUUGUACUUGAAAGAACAACUGACAGACAAACUGUGGUUCUUCAGACUUCGGCAUCUGGCAGACAUUUUCUUGAAAAUGAACAAAGUAUGUCUGUCAUUUCAAAAAAAGACUUGGCAGUAAUUGUUGUGAAUGAUAAAAUUUGAACUUUCAAGUGAAAAUUAGAAUUUUGCAAAAUUUGUAGCUGCCAUUUUGAGCUUGACAGCUUUCCAAAACUCACAUAUUUUUUAUUCUGAUGAGAUUGGUGAUGAUGUUAACAGAUGUCAUUUUCUUGGUACUGAAUAAAGACAUACAUAAUCAUUUAUAAGAUCUGUGUAUUUCUUGAACCAAAUUUUC
This 1175-nucleotide long non-coding RNA is filed under the name Mustela putorius furo (domestic ferret). Its description in RNAcentral is "lncRNA (ENSMPUG00000025783.1)". The record is from RNAcentral. Lineage: Eukaryota; Metazoa; Chordata; Mammalia; Carnivora; Mustelidae.